Molecule: ribosomal RNA, 324 nt
Filed under: uncultured eukaryote
Lineage: Eukaryota
Description: partial 18S ribosomal RNA
Rfam family: Eukaryotic small subunit ribosomal RNA
Source: RNAcentral
CCCUUAGAUGUUCUGGGCCGCACGCGCGCUACACUGAUGCAUUCAACGAGUUUCUUCCUGGUCCGAGAGGAAUGGGUAACCUUUUGAAAGUGCAUCGUGAUAGGGAUAGACUAUUGCAAUUAUUGGUCUUCAACGAGGAAUUCCUAGUAGACGUAGUUCAUCAGACUGCAUCGAUUACGUCCCUGCCCUUUGUACACACCGCCCGUCGCUCCUACCGAUUGAAUGCUCAGGUGAUCCAUUCGGACUUUCAUCAUGCUGGUUUCCAGUUUUGAUGAAGGAAAGUCUUGCGAACCUUAUCAUUUAGAGGAAGGAGAAGUCGUAACA